Molecule: ribosomal RNA, 473 nt
Filed under: uncultured Magnetococcus sp.
Lineage: Bacteria; Pseudomonadati; Pseudomonadota; Magnetococcia; Magnetococcales; Magnetococcaceae
Description: bacterial SSU rRNA
Rfam family: Bacterial small subunit ribosomal RNA
Source: RNAcentral
UUCGGGAUGCCGGCGAGUGGCGAACGGGUGAGUAACGCGUGGAUACCUGUCCUGUGGUGGGGAAUAACGUUUAGAAAUGAACGCUAAUACCGCAUAAGCCCUUCGGGGGAAAGAUUUAUCGCCACAGGAGGGGUCCGCGUCGGAUUAGCUAGUUGGUGGGGUAAAGGCCUACCAAGGCGACGAUCCGUAGCUGGUCUGAGAGGAUGAUCAGCCACACUGGGACUGAGACACGGCCCAGACUCCUACGGGAGGCAGCAGUGGGGAAUAUUGCGCAAUGGGGGAAACCCUGACGCAGCGACGCCGCGUGGGUGAAGAAGGCCUUAGGGUUGUAAAGCCCUUUCAGUGGGAAAGAUGAUGACGGUACCCACAGAAGAAGCUCCGGCUAACUCCGUGCCAGCAGCCGCGGUAAUACGGAGGGGGCUAGCGUUGUUCGGAAUUACUGGGCGUAAAGGGCGCGUAGGCGGUCAGGCAAG